UAAAUAGUGCACGUAUGGU
RNAcentral lists this non-coding RNA (19 nucleotides) under Arabidopsis thaliana (thale cress). The record is from RNAcentral. Lineage: Eukaryota; Viridiplantae; Streptophyta; Magnoliopsida; Brassicales; Brassicaceae.